UGGGGAAUUUUGGACAAUGGGCGCAAGCCUGAUCCAGCCAUUCCGCGUGCAGGAUGAAGGCCCUCGGGUUGUAAACUGCUUUUGUACGGAACGAAAAGGUCUGAGUUAAUACCUCGGGCUGAUGACGGUACCGUAAGAAUAAGCACCGGCUAACUACGUGC
This 161-nucleotide ribosomal RNA is filed under the name uncultured bacterium. RNAcentral describes it as "partial 16S ribosomal RNA". It matches the Rfam family "Bacterial small subunit ribosomal RNA", at positions 355 to 508 of the family's 1533-position model. The record is from RNAcentral.